CUGGACCCCAGGGACCGCACACUCAGCCCAGCAGCCCCACUGGACCACAGGGACAUAGAGACUCCAUGCCAGCACUCCCAAAGGUAGGGAGACUGGGUGGAGUAAAAUUUAAAAAAAUAAAAUAAAUUCUGUGUGUCUGUUAGUUUGUGUGUGUUUGUCAGUGAGAGUGUGUCUGCGUAUAUCAGACUUUUUGAAUGCGUCUGUAUAUGACACUGUGGGUGCAAGUGUGUGUAUUUGUGAGUCAAGAUGUGUGUAUGUUUCACAGUGUAUCUGUGUCAGAUGCAUAGAUACACACACUGGCACGUACAAACACAGAUAUACACACCUUGACACACACACACACACAGUGUGUGCAUCUGUGUCAGAUACACACCAAUAUACAAAAAACUGUGCUUUUUCUUAUUUCUGGGGGGGUUGGGGGUUCCACGAUGUUGAUACACAAAGGGACCCACAUGAAAAAUUAAUUGGGAACCCCUGCCAUAGACCAGCUAAAGUUUAUCUGUAGAAAGGAAAGAACUUUUAAAAUAUAAAUCUAGAUAUACCCUUAAAAACAGUACGGACAUCCCCUUCAUAUGUCAAUAUAAUAGAAAUAUUAAGUGCAUUCAAAAAACAAUAAACAGGCAAUGGCACAUCCUAAGAGACGAUCCUAUCUUAAAGAACAUCUUACCAUCAAAACCAAAAAUUAUAUAUAGAGGAAACAGAAAUUUAAAAACCAUUGUGGUAAGGAGUAGUCUAGAUCCUACUAAACCAGACCAUCUAAACAAUCUUGUAGGAUUUUAUGGCUGUGGGGAAUGUUUACCAUCAGAACCACCAAAAAUAAAAAAAUACAUCUUUUGGAUUUAAGUACUUUUUUGGGACAACAAUACAAAAUAAAAGACCACCUCACAUGUCACUCCAAAGGAAUAAUCUAUGCCCUGAAAUGUCCAUGCAAUCUCCUCUAUAUAGGGAGAACAAUACGCCCACUACACAUAAGAAUUGCAGAACAUAUACGCAACAUCAGAAAAGGUUUAGAAACGCAUUCCGUCUCUCACACAUAACCAAGAUCCUACGGUCCUGCAAUUUUGUGCAAUAAAUUGGUAACAAAAAAUUGGAGAGGAGGUGAUUACGGGAAUAAAUUAGGAAACGAAGAGAUGAAGUUCAUUUUUAAUUUCAAUACCCUAAUACCAAAUGGUUUGAACUCAGACUUCGAGAUUUGCCAUUUUCUUAAGAAAUAAUUCCCUCUUUACCAAGAUUCUCCUGUUCACUAUUAUUGACAUUUGUAUUAAUAGAUCAAUCAUUUUUGACACACACUGUAUUGGGUAAUUUUCAUUGGUUCUUAGUAUACUGUCAUACCUUCUUUCCUGUAUAUACAUUUUUUAUAUAUACUUUUGCAUUUUUUCAAAAUAUUUAUAAUAUUUUUUCAAUAUAUUUAAUAUUUUUUAUUGUAUAUUUAGCACAUAUGUACCUAUUAUACAUUUUGUGAUAUAUUUAAUCCUGUCAUUUUAAUCCUUUUUUUUUUUUUUUUUUUACCUACAUCUAAUUUAAUCUCUGACAUUUGAUGUACCAAGAGGACAUCUAAAAUAUACUUUUAAUCCUUUGGAAAAGCUUUUCAACAAAGACUGAUAGGUGUAACAACUUCUAGGAACUCUACAAAGGCAGACAAUACUUUAUUAAGUGGGUGGAACGCAUAUGCGUCCCAUUCUCGGAAAAACCGGAAGUGCGUUCUACUGACGGACGGAACGAAAACCGGAACAGGAAGUGACGACGGAACCCGGAAGUAACGAAGAUCAAGCAGAUGUCCAGCAUUUAUCCAUCAAAAGGGGUAUAAAAGGAUGAGAAGUAACAGAGCAACCUUAGGAGCAACUGAGGAAGCCCAUAUAUUGGGCGAAAUGCGUUUUGCUGAACUUUCCCAGAGUGGAUAACUGACUUUUUGUCCCUUAGUGGACCAUUUCAUAUUAAGAGACUUUUGAUUUGUUUUGUUUUUUAUUUUGAUUUUUUUUUUAAUACAUUUUAUUGCACUUUUUACCCUAAG
RNAcentral lists this long non-coding RNA (2011 nucleotides) under Pelobates cultripes (western spadefoot toad). Lineage: Eukaryota; Metazoa; Chordata; Amphibia; Anura; Pelobatidae. The record is from RNAcentral.